Molecule: long non-coding RNA, 260 nt
Organism: Prionailurus viverrinus (fishing cat)
Lineage: Eukaryota; Metazoa; Chordata; Mammalia; Carnivora; Felidae
Exons: 3
Source: RefSeq, a predicted model, not a curated record
CGGUGCCCCCUCUCAGGCACUGCACCUGCCCUCUCCCACCUCCUCUGGGCACCAGCCUUCUGUGUGAAUUCAUCUGAGAAAAAGAAAGAUGAGAAGCAGAGAAAUCACAAUGCGCUGUGAGCCGGUGGAUGAGCAAACCAGUUUACCAACUUUUCAAGGUUCACAGAGAGGAGCUGAUCUCUGCAAUGGAAUUAAAAACAAAGAUCGGCCACUUGCAACAACAGCAACAAAACAAUAGAGGUUUUUAUUUAUGGAACUGA